GGAGCUUGCCACUUUGUGAAUCUGACACGUAUCCCUCUGGCUCUCGAGUCUCAAGACUGUUCACUUGGUUCUCUGCAGAGACAAGGACGCCAUGCGACUCGUCACUCGCAGAAGUCAGCGAGACUUCGGGGAAUGCGCCGUCCGUGGUAGUUUUUCUCGGCGCCGCGUGACCUCUGUGGAUGUCGUUCUCUGGGGCUUCCGGGGGACGUUGCUGCUUGAAAUCAACUUCGUCGCUGAUUUUGUCCGCAAGAGAUUCUUCACCACUGCUUGCGAAACCAAUGCCCAUGCCAUCUGCUCCUGCGUGCGAUAGAGCCGACCCCUCUCGAUGGCCUUUCAUCUCCGCUGCGCCUUGGAGAGCUGCAUUGGUUUCGUCCUCUUCUUCGUCCAUCGCUGUCUCCCCUGCCCGCACACUGCUCUUCUCUACCAGCGGCAAAGGUGAGGGAAGUUUGCACUCUGGCACUCCUGUGGGUUCCACGGCAAGAGCCCCUCCAGAGACGGAUGCACUUUUCGGGGACUGAGCAGAGUCCUUACCAAAAGAGAAACCUGUAUCCUUGCGAAGGGGGGACAUCCCGUCUUGGACGAAGUUCGCUGGGUCGUCCAGAAGCGAGGCAGAACGUGACAAAGACACAGGAGAGAAAGAGCCCUUAGACGAAAAGUGGUAGGAGGAAAUGGUAGAACAAGAUGACUGAGGACGGAAGAGGGGAAUGCAACAGUCUGCUCCAUCUGCACCGGACCCAGACCUACACGAGAGAGUCGGAGACUGUUUCUUCGGACUGACUGUCGCGGGACAGGAAGAGGAGAGGGAGAUCGACGGGGAAUCGCAACCUGUGGUCGCAGCCCCGGUGCAGGGGCGAGUCGCCCCCAUAGAGAAGCCAGCAUCUGAUCCCACCAAAGUGUCGUGCGCCUCAACCGCGGGAAGCUCUGAGAACGGCAACUCUUGUUCCAUGGGACCUUCCUUGACGUUUGUCCCGCACAGGGGACCGGCGUCACCCUCUGCAUGCACCCCUCCACACCACGUGGAUUCACUCAUUUUGCCUUCAGCAGCUACACGAGCCUCAUCUGCACUUUCUGCACCUAGCUGAUAAGCUGAAAAAUCUUCAGUCACAGCCAGAUCAGGAAAAGCGGAACUUCGGGAAGUUGUUUCGCCCAACGCCUUCCCUUCCGCUUGAUUCAAGAGUUCACUUUCGAUACUGCCUCUCACGGCAGUGACAAAUUCUUUUUCCGACAGAGACAUCAUGACGACUGCUACGUUUGUGCGUUUGACGGACGCCUCCUGCCGCGCCUGCGCCGACAGCUACGGCUGCACAGGUUGCAGGCGACAGACUGAGAGCUUCUGCUGCAAGUGUCGCAUGUGGGAAUGACGGUAGCUGGCCAGAGGGG
RNAcentral lists this long non-coding RNA (1380 nucleotides) under Toxoplasma gondii VEG. Lineage: Eukaryota; Apicomplexa; Conoidasida; Eucoccidiorida; Sarcocystidae. The record is from RNAcentral.